CCAGACUCCUACGGGAGGCAGCAGUGGGGAAUAUUGCACAAUGGGGGAAACCCUGAUGCAGCGACGCCGCGUGAAGGACGAAGUAUUUCGGUACGUAAACUUCUAUCAGCAGGGAAGAAAAUGACGGUACCUGACCAAGAAGCCCCGGCUAACUACGUGCCAGCAGCCGCGGUAAUACGUAGGGGGCAAGCGUUAUCCGGAUUUACUGGGUGUAAAGGGAGCGUAGACGGCCAUGCAAGUCUGAUGUGAAAACCCGGGGCUCAACCCCGGGACUGCAUUGGAAACUGUGCGGCUGGAGUGUCGGAGAGGCAAGUGGAAUUCCUAGUGUAGCGGUGAAAUGCGUAGAUAUUAGGAGGAACACCAGUGGCGAAGGCGGCUUGCUGGACGACGACUGACGUUGAGGCUCGAAAGCGUGGGGAGCAAACAGGAUUAGAUACCCUUGUAAGC
Molecule: ribosomal RNA, 447 nt
Filed under: uncultured bacterium
Lineage: Bacteria
Description: bacterial SSU rRNA
Rfam family: Bacterial small subunit ribosomal RNA
Source: RNAcentral